RNAcentral lists this ribosomal RNA (521 nucleotides) under uncultured bacterium. RNAcentral's name for it is "bacterial SSU rRNA". It matches the Rfam family "Archaeal small subunit ribosomal RNA", at positions 345 to 866 of the family's 1478-position model. The record is from RNAcentral.
AACCUCCGCAAUGUGAGAAAUCGCGACGGGGGGAUCCCAAGUGCCAUUCUUAACGGGAUGGCCUUUCAUUAGUGUAAAGAGCUUUUGGAAUAAGAGCUGGGCAAGACCGGUGCCAGCCGCCGCGGUAACACCGGCAGCUCUAGUGGUAACAAUUUUUAUUGGGCCUAAAGCGUCCGUAGCCGGUUUAAUAAGUCUCUGGUGAAAUCCUGCAGCUUAACUGUGGGAAUUGCUGGAGAUACUAUUAGACUUGAGACCGGGAGAGGUUAGAGGUACUCCCAGGGUAGAGGUGAAAUUCUGUAAUCCUGGGAGGACCGCCUGUUGCGAAGGCGUCUAACUGGAACGGUUCUGACGGUGAGGGACGAAAGUUAGGGGCGCGAACCGGAUUAGAUACCCGGGUAGUCCUAACUGUAAACGAUGCGGACUUGGUGUUGGGGUGGCUUUGAGCUGCUUCAGUGCCGAAGGGAAGCUGUUAAGUCCGCCGCCUGGGAAGUACGGUCGCAAGACUGAAACUUAAAGGAAGU